CUGCCUAGUGUUGGAUGGGCGCGUGCUCUGCAUGGUGAGGCGGGAGCGACAGUUGACUGUCCAUUCGUGUGUCGCAGUCGGGUGGUGUGCUUGCUUCCAAGUUUGGAGAUGAAGAGUUCCAUACAAAAGACCUACUCCCCUGAGAAGUAGUGAAGUGCUCCUGGGGCCCACCAAGGCCACACAAAUCAAGGAGUGGGUGACCUCACCCUGGCUUCAGCUCAGAGCUGAUUUUGAGAUCACCUUUGCAAAACGACAUCGUGCUGGGAGAUGUCAUCAGGACAAGACCAUAGAUGUGGCUGUCAAAGGAGGUGAGAAGAGAGAUGUCCAGGGGGAGAAGUGGCCAAACACCAACACCUCUGCAUCCAACCUCACAAAAGACUCAAAGAGAUGCAGAAACGGAGAUGGGGGAAUGGAAACCUCUUUCAAGCUAGGCUUUGAGGCCUGGUACUGAUCUCUCUUCUUCCUCCUGCAACCUACAGCACCUGCAGUUUUCUCACCUCAGUUGAUGGAAACUCCAUCCUUACGUACACUCAAUCCAGAAAUCUUAGAGUUUUCUUUGACUGCUGAUCUG
Molecule: long non-coding RNA, 571 nt
Filed under: Homo sapiens (human)
Lineage: Eukaryota; Metazoa; Chordata; Mammalia; Primates; Hominidae
Description: non-protein coding lnc-PRKAB2-6:1
Source: RNAcentral